Molecule: ribosomal RNA, 252 nt
Filed under: uncultured bacterium
Lineage: Bacteria
Description: partial 16S ribosomal RNA
Rfam family: Bacterial small subunit ribosomal RNA
Source: RNAcentral
UACGGAGGAUGCGAGCGUUAUCCGGAUUUAUUGGGUUUAAAGGGUGCGUAGGCGGACUGUCAAGUCAGCGGUAAAAUUGAGAGGCUCAACCUCUUCUCGCCGUUGAAACUGGUGGUCUUGAGUGGAUGAGAAGUACGCGGAAUGCGUGGUGUAGCGGUGAAAUGCAUAGAUAUCACGUAGAACUCCGAUUGCGAAGGCAGCGUACCGGCGCCCUACUGACGCUGAAGCACGAAGGCGUGGGUAUCGAACAGG